GCCAUAUCAAUAAGCGGAGGAAAAGAAACCAACAGGGAUUACCUUAGUAACGGCGAGUGAAGCGGUAAUAGCUCAAAUUUGAAAUCUGACUCUUUUCGAGUCCGAGUUGUAAUUUGUAGAGGAUGUUUCGGGUACAAUUUUGGUUUAAAUUUCUUGGAACAGAAUGUCAUAGAGGGUGAGAAUCCCGUCUAUAACCAUCUAUUGUGCCCAUGUGAAACUCCUUCGACGAGUCGAGUUGUUUGGGAAUAA
Molecule: ribosomal RNA, 249 nt
Filed under: Moristroma quercinum
Lineage: Eukaryota; Fungi; Ascomycota; Eurotiomycetes; Phaeomoniellales
Description: partial 26S ribosomal RNA
Rfam family: Eukaryotic large subunit ribosomal RNA
Source: RNAcentral